Molecule: ribosomal RNA, 1433 nt
Filed under: Enterococcus durans
Lineage: Bacteria; Bacillati; Bacillota; Bacilli; Lactobacillales; Enterococcaceae
Description: bacterial SSU rRNA
Rfam family: Bacterial small subunit ribosomal RNA
Source: RNAcentral
AUGCAAGUCGUACGCUUCUUUUUCCACCGGAGCUUGCUCCACCGGAAAAAGAAGAGUGGCGAACGGGUGAGUAACACGUGGGUAACCUGCCCAUCAGAAGGGGAUAACACUUGGAAACAGGUGCUAAUACCGUAUAACAAUCGAAACCGCAUGGUUUUGAUUUGAAAGGCGCUUUCGGGUGUCGCUGAUGGAUGGACCCGCGGUGCAUUAGCUAGUUGGUGAGGUAACGGCUCACCAAGGCCACGAUGCAUAGCCGACCUGAGAGGGUGAUCGGCCACAUUGGGACUGAGACACGGCCCAAACUCCUACGGGAGGCAGCAGUAGGGAAUCUUCGGCAAUGGACGAAAGUCUGACCGAGCAACGCCGCGUGAGUGAAGAAGGUUUUCGGAUCGUAAAACUCUGUUGUUAGAGAAGAACAAGGAUGAGAGUAACUGUUCAUCCCUUGACGGUAUCUAACCAGAAAGCCACGGCUAACUACGUGCCAGCAGCCGCGGUAAUACGUAGGUGGCAAGCGUUGUCCGGAUUUAUUGGGCGUAAAGCGAGCGCAGGCGGUUUCUUAAGUCUGAUGUGAAAGCCCCCGGCUCAACCGGGGAGGGUCAUUGGAAACUGGGAGACUUGAGUGCAGAAGAGGAGAGUGGAAUUCCAUGUGUAGCGGUGAAAUGCGUAGAUAUAUGGAGGAACACCAGUGGCGAAGGCGGCUCUCUGGUCUGUAACUGACGCUGAGGCUCGAAAGCGUGGGGAGCAAACAGGAUUAGAUACCCUGGUAGUCCACGCCGUAAACGAUGAGUGCUAAGUGUUGGAGGGUUUCCGCCCUUCAGUGCUGCAGCUAACGCAUUAAGCACUCCGCCUGGGGAGUACGACCGCAAGGUUGAAACUCAAAGGAAUUGACGGGGGCCCGCACAAGCGGUGGAGCAUGUGGUUUAAUUCGAAGCAACGCGAAGAACCUUACCAGGUCUUGACAUCCUUUGACCACUCUAGAGAUAGAGCUUCCCCUUCGGGGGCAAAGUGACAGGUGGUGCAUGGUUGUCGUCAGCUCGUGUCGUGAGAUGUUGGGUUAAGUCCCGCAACGAGCGCAACCCUUAUUGUUAGUUGCCAUCAUUUAGUUGGGCACUCUAGCAAGACUGCCGGUGACAAACCGGAGGAAGGUGGGGAUGACGUCAAAUCAUCAUGCCCCUUAUGACCUGGGCUACACACGUGCUACAAUGGGAAGUACAACGAGUCGCGAAGUCGCGAGGCUAAGCUAAUCUCUUAAAGCUUCUCUCAGUUCGGAUUGUAGGCUGCAACUCGCCUACAUGAAGCCGGAAUCGCUAGUAAUCGCGGAUCAGCACGCCGCGGUGAAUACGUUCCCGGGCCUUGUACACACCGCCCGUCACACCACGAGAGUUUGUAACACCCGAAGUCGGUGAGGUAACCUUUUGGAGCCAGCCGCGUAA